GCUUUGGUGGUUCAGUGGUAGCGAUCUCUAUUGCCACGCGGGAGACCCGGGUUCGAUUCCCGGCCAAUGCA
Molecule: transfer RNA, 71 nt
Filed under: Danio rerio (zebrafish)
Lineage: Eukaryota; Metazoa; Chordata; Actinopteri; Cypriniformes; Danionidae
Rfam family: tRNA
About the family: Transfer RNA (tRNA) molecules are approximately 80 nucleotides in length. Their secondary structure includes four short double-helical elements and three loops (D, anti-codon, and T loops). Further hydrogen bonds mediate the characteristic L-shaped molecular structure. tRNAs have two regions of fundamental functional importance: the anti-codon, which is responsible for specific mRNA codon recognition, and the 3' end, to which the tRNAs corresponding amino acid is attached (by aminoacyl-tRNA synthetases). tRNAs cope with the degeneracy of the genetic code in two manners: having more than one tRNA (with a specific anti-codon) for a particular amino acid; and 'wobble' base-pairing, i.e. permitting non-standard base-pairing at the 3rd anti-codon position.
Source: Rfam by way of RNAcentral